UUGCUUGCUUUGGCAGCACAUAUACUAAAAUUGGAACGAUACAGAGCUUCGCAUGGCCCCUGUGCAAGGAUAACACGCAAAUUCGUGAAGUGUUCUAUAUUAAA
Molecule: small nuclear RNA, 104 nt
Filed under: Octodon degus (degu)
Lineage: Eukaryota; Metazoa; Chordata; Mammalia; Rodentia; Octodontidae
Source: RNAcentral